Molecule: ribosomal RNA, 1154 nt
Filed under: Staphylococcus delphini
Lineage: Bacteria; Bacillati; Bacillota; Bacilli; Caryophanales; Staphylococcaceae
Description: bacterial LSU rRNA
Rfam family: Bacterial large subunit ribosomal RNA
Source: RNAcentral
GAAGAGCCGCAGUGAAUAGGCCCAAGCGACUGUUUAUCAAAAACACAGGUCUCUGCUAAACCGUAAGGUGACGUAUAGGGGCUGACGCCUGCCCGGUGCUGGAAGGUUAAGAGGAGUGGUUAGCGCAAGCGAAGCUACGAAUCGAAGCCCCAGUAAACGGCGGCCGUAACUAUAACGGUCCUAAGGUAGCGAAAUUCCUUGUCGGGUAAGUUCCGACCCGCACGAAAGGCGUAACGAUUUGGGCACUGUCUCAACGAGAGACUCGGUGAAAUCAUAGUACCGGUGAAGAUGCCGGUUACCCGCGACAGGACGGAAAGACCCCGUGGAGCUUUACUGUAGCCUGAUAUUGAAAUUCGGUACAGUUUGUACAGGAUAGGUAGGAGCCUUAGAAGCGUGAGCGCUAGCUUACGUGGAGGCAUUGGUGGGAUACUACCCUAAUUGUAUUGGAUUUCUAACCCGCAGCACUUAUCGUGCUGGGAGACAGUGUCAGGCGGGCAGUUUGACUGGGGCGGUCGCCUCCUAAAGAGUAACGGAGGCGCUCAAAGGUUCCCUCAGAAUGGUUGGAAAUCAUUCAUAGAGUGUAAAGGCAUAAGGGAGCUUGACUGCGAGACCUACAAGUCGAGCAGGGUCGAAAGACGGACUUAGUGAUCCGGUGGUUCCGCAUGGAAGGGCCAUCGCUCAACGGAUAAAAGCUACCCCGGGGAUAACAGGCUUAUCUCCCCCAAGAGUUCACAUCGACGGGGAGGUUUGGCACCUCGAUGUCGGCUCAUCGCAUCCUGGGGCUGUAGUCGGUCCCAAGGGUUGGGCUGUUCGCCCAUUAAAGCGGUACGCGAGCUGGGUUCAGAACGUCGUGAGACAGUUCGGUCCCUAUCCGUCGUGGGCGUAGGAAAUUUGAGAGGAGCUGUCCUUAGUACGAGAGGACCGGGAUGGACAUACCUCUGGUGUACCAGUUGUCGUGCCAACGGCAUAGCUGGGUAGCUAUGUAUGGACGGGAUAAGUGCUGAAAGCAUCUAAGCAUGAAGCCCCCCUCGAGAUGAGAUUUCCCAACUUCGGUUAUAAGAUCCCUCAAAGAUGAUGAGGUGAAUAGGUUCGAGGUGGAAGCGUAGCGAUACGUGGAGCUGACGAAUACUAAUCGAUCGAAGACUUAAUCAAAA